AUUGAACGCUGGCGGCAUGCCUUACACAUGCAAGUCGAACGGCAGCACGGGAGCAAUCCUGGUGGCGAGUGGCGAACGGGUGAGUAAUGUAUCGGAACGUGCCCAGUCGUGGGGGAUAACGUAGCGAAAGCUACGCUAAUACCGCAUACGAUCUAUGGAUGAAAGCGGGGGAUCGCAAGACCUCGCGCGAUUGGGGCGGCCGAUAUCAGAUUAGGUAGUUGGGGGGGUAAAGGCCCACCAAGCCUUCGAUCUGUAGCUGGUAUGAGAGGACGACCAGCCACGCUGGAACUGAGACACGGUCCAGACUCCUACGGGAGGAAGCAGUGGGGAAUUUUGGACAAUGGGCGCAAGCAUGAUCCAGCAAUGCCGCGUGCAGGAUGAAGGCCUUCGGGUUGUAAACUGCUUUUGUACGGAACGAAACGGCUUUUUCUAAUACAGAGAGCUAAUGACGGUACCGUAAGAAUAAGCACCGGCUAACUACGUGCCAGCCGCCGCUGUAA
RNAcentral lists this ribosomal RNA (500 nucleotides) under uncultured bacterium. RNAcentral's name for it is "partial 16S ribosomal RNA". It matches the Rfam family "Bacterial small subunit ribosomal RNA", at positions 30 to 523 of the family's 1533-position model. The record is from RNAcentral.